CCUACGGGUGGCUGCAGUAGGGAAUAUUGCGCAAUGGGGGAAACCCUGACGCAGCGACGCCGCGUGAGUGAUGAAGGCCUUCGGGUCGUAAAGCUCUGUUGUACGGGAAGAAACAAAUGACGGUACCGUAUAAGAAAGGACCGGCUAACUUCGUGCCAGCAGCCGCGGUAAUACGAGGGGUCCUAGCGUUGUUCGGAAUCAUUGGGCGUAAAGAGUAUGUAGGCGGCUAGAUAAGUCAGGUGUGAAAGCCCCGGGCUCAACCCGGGAAGUGCAUU
RNAcentral lists this ribosomal RNA (275 nucleotides) under uncultured bacterium. RNAcentral describes it as "partial 16S ribosomal RNA". It matches the Rfam family "Bacterial small subunit ribosomal RNA", at positions 338 to 627 of the family's 1533-position model. The record is from RNAcentral.